GAAUAGUGCCACGGUUUUGUUGUACACCCGAGUCGUGAGGUAACCGUGAGGGCCAGCCGCCUAAGGUGGGAUAGAUGAUUGGGGUGAAGUCGUAACAAGGUAGCCGUAUCGGAAGGUGCGGCUGGAUCACCUCCUUUCUAAGGAUAAGGAACUGCGCAUUGGUCUUGUUUAGUCUUGAGAGGUCUUGUGGGGCCUUAGCUCAGCUGGGAGAGCGCCUGCUUUGCACGCAGGAGGUCAGCGGUUCGAUCCCGCUAGGCUCCAUUGGUGAGAGAUCACCAAGUAAUGCACAUUGAAAAUUGAAUAUCUAUAUCAAAUAGUAACAAGAAAAUAAACCGAAAACGCUGUAGUAUUAAUAAGAGUUUAUGACUGAAAGGUCAGAAAAUAAGGUUAAGUUAAUAAGGGCGCACGGUGGAUGCCUUGGCACUAGGAGCCGAUGAAGGACGUGACAAACGACGAUAUGCCUUGGGUAGCUGUAAGUAAGCGAUGAUCCAGGGAUUUCCGAACGGGGAAAACCAAAAGGUCUGGGAAGUUUUCCCACGCCGGGGGAGUGGUGUGUGUUCGUACCUUUUCUCCUUACCUGACACACGCGUGCCUAUAUAUAAAUUAACCCUUAUAUUUUCGGACCUCGUAGAGAAAUUAUAUAGGGGUGGAGGGGGGGGUGGUUGGUUCUGU
This 672-nucleotide unclassified non-coding RNA is filed under the name Streptococcus pneumoniae. Its description in RNAcentral is "partial contains 16S ribosomal RNA, 16S-23S ribosomal RNA intergenic spacer, and 23S ribosomal RNA". The stretch from base 386 to 672 matches the Rfam family "Bacterial large subunit ribosomal RNA", at positions 1 to 196 of the family's 2925-position model. Lineage: Bacteria; Bacillati; Bacillota; Bacilli; Lactobacillales; Streptococcaceae. The record is from RNAcentral.